This is a non-coding RNA of Arachis ipaensis, 985 nucleotides long. Lineage: Eukaryota; Viridiplantae; Streptophyta; Magnoliopsida; Fabales; Fabaceae. The record is from RefSeq and is a predicted model, not a curated record.
CUCGUGAGGCUGUAAAUGAGAAAUAGUCCAAGCAUAUUUCUGCAGCAGUGUCACUAAUCAGUAAUGCUUCUAAUAGCAACGAGCAACAUGACAUGGAGAUCAAUUCUACUCGUGUUGCAGUAGAGGAAGAUGUGGCAAAGAACAACAAGGAUCUCUUUGAGCAGUUUGAUGGUAAGUGUAUGGUUUCAUUGCAUAGCAAAAUUGGUUGCAAAAAAGUAGCAAAAUUGUUUUAUUAUUGGCAUUCUGACGUGUGUGUCCAUUAGCAAUCUGGUUUUAAAACUCUACUCUUUACCAUUUUAUCAUGUUUUACGCCUCCCACCAUAUUCAACCUGUUCCUGCCACAAAAGAAGAGGUAUGAUUUCAUUUUAAGUGUUUCUGUUUCUUCUUAGCAGUUUGCUAAUCUAACUCCUUGUGAUAAAUUUCGAGCUUCUACCAUUUCUCUAUCUUUCAAUUUUUCGCUAAUUUGAAUUUCUUAAACUAGUUAAUACUAGUUUGGAAUCAUCAAUUUCAGCUUUCUGUGACCAAUUUAAUUCAGUUAAUUCUAGUUUGGGUAAUUAUUUACUUCAUCAGUUUAUUGCCAUUGCCAUUAUCAAUAUUUGAUUUGUUUGUGUGAGAAAUGAAUGUGUGGACAGUUUUUUAAUUUCAUUUUGAUAUUAUUGCAUAUUAGGGAAAUCAUUUGUAAGUGUAUAGCAGUAUUAAGAGAGUUCUUGGUCAUGCACUGUGAAACUUUGCUUAUUGCCGCUUAGGUAAUUUUGGAUCAAAGUGUUGGUUCCUUCAAAGGAAUUUUCCAAGAAGCAUUACCAUGAUCUCAGUGAAAGAUCUUUCUUCAAUGAGCUCUGUGACUUCCUAAGCUCUGGCUCUGUUAUUGCAAUGGUUUAGGAAGGAGAAGGAGUCAUAACUUAUGGCCGAAAACUAAUUGGAGCCACUGAUCCGCAGAAAUCUGCACCUGGAACUAUUAGAGGUGAUCUGGCUGUUAAUGUUGGAA